UACGGAGGGGGCUAGCGUUGUUCGGAAUUACUGGGCGUAAAGCGCACGUAGGCGGCUUUGUAAGUUAGAGGUGAAAGCCCAGGGCUCAACCCUGGAACUGCCUUUGAAACUAGGUAGCUAGAAUCUUGGAGAGGUCAGUGGAAUUCCGAGUGUAGAGGUGAAAUUCGUAGAUAUUCGGAAGAACACCAGUGGCGAAGGCGUCUGACUGGACAAGUAUUGACGCUGAGGUGCGAAAGCGUGGGGAGCAAACAGG
RNAcentral lists this ribosomal RNA (253 nucleotides) under uncultured bacterium. Its description in RNAcentral is "partial 16S ribosomal RNA". It matches the Rfam family "Bacterial small subunit ribosomal RNA", at positions 524 to 776 of the family's 1533-position model. The record is from RNAcentral.